UGUUCAGAGAUAUUGCAUACUUAGCUUUCAAGUAGGCAGCAGCUCUAGCUUUUUUUCAUCAUUGUGGCUGCCAUUGGAGUGAAUGGCAACCUUCAAGAGCUUUUCUUGUUCCAAAUCAUAAACUUUGUCUGUCAUGCCUUCUUUCUGGUAUGCAUCUAUCAUAGUAGAGUAAGUCAUGAGAUCAGGUUGACAUUGCUUGUCUUUCAUUCGCUUGAAAACCCUCCCCAUCUCCAUUACGUCCUCAGCCUUUGCACACGCAUAAAUAACAGAAUUGAAUAAGGAAGUAUUUUCAGGGACCUCCAAUUUCCCAGCUAACUGGACAGUGUUGAUCACCUUAUGAAAAAGGCCUGCAUUUGCAUAUCCCCUUACGAGGCAGCAAAAGGUCUUGGUGCAACAUACAAUAAUGUCAUUGAGG
This 415-nucleotide unclassified non-coding RNA is filed under the name Hevea brasiliensis (rubber tree). Lineage: Eukaryota; Viridiplantae; Streptophyta; Magnoliopsida; Malpighiales; Euphorbiaceae. The record is from RNAcentral.